UUUGUAGGCGGGGUUUGAUAAGUGGAGAUUCCGGUGGUGGAAGCUUUGAAGAUCGACAGUGACAAAGGCGGUUAGGGUUCCGGCCACGAAACCGACUUUCUGGGGUUUAAUCGUUGAUGUUCAUCAUUCGGUAACAACAUUGGUUCAUGCAUAUUUUAUAAAAUUCCAUUAAACUUGCAAACCCUAAUUCUGUUCUAUUUUACUCUGCCCAGAUUUGCUCUUUGCUUUGGAGAUACUGUUCAACAAAUUAUUCAUUAUAGAAGCAUGUCCAGAUCUGAUAGAUGGCGAUUUCAUCAAUGUGCGAGCGAAGGAGAUGCUUCAACUCUGUUUCAUAACGACAGAGAGUUCGGCGAUCAGAGAUAAUGUUAUGAUGGGAACAUCAUCUGAGGUAUAGUUAUAAAAUAUACACAUGAACUGAAAGGGGGUGUCUGGAUUUGUGUUAUGGAAGUGAUUAUCUAUAUUUCAGCAAGCAUAUUCUGACAAUUAGAUAUAAGCAUAUGGGUUGUGGGUAGUGUACAUAAUUAGUAAAUAGUAAUUUAUGAUAAAACUUAACAGUGAGCCAUUUUGAACCGUUAUCGUUUCUCCCGAUUUGCUGCCCCAAACACAGAAUUAUCUGUCUAAACAGGCUAGCGAGUCAACCCGUUUAAAUUAUCU
RNAcentral lists this long non-coding RNA (654 nucleotides) under Helianthus annuus (common sunflower). Its description in RNAcentral is "sRNA HanXRQr2_Chr01g0001531". Lineage: Eukaryota; Viridiplantae; Streptophyta; Magnoliopsida; Asterales; Asteraceae. The record is from RNAcentral.